CGCAGCCGCAGUAAUUCCAGCUCCAAUAGCGUAUAUUAAAGUUGUUGCAGUUAAAAAGCUCGUAGUUGAAUUUCGGAAUCAGUACGCCAGUCAUGCUUCGGUAUGUACUAGUGUCACUGAUUCCUUCCUUCUGACGAACCGUCAUGCCAUUAAUUUAGCGUGAUGUGGAAUCAGGACUGUUACUUUGAAAAAAUUGAGUGUUUAAAGAAGGCUCGCGCUUGAAUACAUUAGCAUGGAAUAAUGAAAUAGGACGUUUGAUCUUAUUUUGUUGGUUUCUAGGAUCGAUGUAAUGAUUAAUAGGGAUAGUUGGGGGCAUUAGUAUUCAAUUGUCAGAGGUGAAAUUCUU
Molecule: ribosomal RNA, 346 nt
Filed under: uncultured Glomus
Lineage: Eukaryota; Fungi; Glomeromycota; Glomeromycetes; Glomerales; Glomeraceae
Description: bacterial SSU rRNA
Rfam family: Eukaryotic small subunit ribosomal RNA
Source: RNAcentral